GAUGAACGCUGGCGGCGUGCCUAAUACAUGCAAGUCGAGCGAACAGAUGAGGAGCUUGCUCCUCUGACGUUAGCGGCGGACGGGUGAGUAACACGUGGAUAACCUACCUAUAAGACUGGGAUAACUUCGGGAAACCGGAGCUAAUACCGGAUAAUAUAUUGAACCGCAUGGUUCAAUAGUGAAAGACGGUUUUGCUGUCACUUAUAGAUGGAUCCGCGCCGCAUUAGCUAGUUGGUAAGGUAACGGCUUACCAAGGCAACGAUGCGUAGCCGACCUGAGAGGGUGAUCGGCCCCACUGGAAAUGAGCCACGGUCCAGACCCCUACGGGGGGCACAAGUAGGGAUUCUUCCGCAAGGGGCGAAAGCCUGACGGAGCAACGCCGCGGGAGUGAUGAAGGUUUUCGGAUCGAAAAACUCUUUUAUUAGGGAAAAACAAAUGGGUAAGUAACUAUGCCCGUCUUGACGGUACCUAAACAGAAAGCCCCGGCUAACUACGU
Molecule: ribosomal RNA, 496 nt
Filed under: uncultured bacterium
Lineage: Bacteria
Description: partial 16S ribosomal RNA
Rfam family: Bacterial small subunit ribosomal RNA
Source: RNAcentral